RNAcentral lists this ribosomal RNA (1036 nucleotides) under Enterococcus sp. M354. Its description in RNAcentral is "bacterial SSU rRNA". It matches the Rfam family "Bacterial small subunit ribosomal RNA", at positions 51 to 1049 of the family's 1533-position model. The record is from RNAcentral. Lineage: Bacteria; Bacillati; Bacillota; Bacilli; Lactobacillales; Enterococcaceae.
CUAUAAUGCAGUCGUACGCUUCUUUUUCCACCGGAGCUUGCUCCACCGGAAAAAGAAGAGUGGCGAACGGGUGAGUAACACGUGGGUAACCUGCCCAUCAGAAGGGGAUAACACUUGGAAACAGGUGCUAAUACCGUAUAACAAUCGAAACCGCAUGGUUUUGAUUUGAAAGGCGCUUUCGGGUGUCGCUGAUGGAUGGACCCGCGGUGCAUUAGCUAGUUGGUGAGGUAACGGCUCACCAAGGCCACGAUGCAUAGCCGACCUGAGAGGGUGAUCGGCCACAUUGGGACUGAGACACGGCCCAAACUCCUACGGGAGGCAGCAGUAGGGAAUCUUCGGCAAUGGACGAAAGUCUGACCGAGCAACGCCGCGUGAGUGAAGAAGGUUUUCGGAUCGUAAAACUCUGUUGUUAGAGAAGAACAAGGAUGAGAGUAACUGUUCAUCCCUUGACGGUAUCUAACCAGAAAGCCACGGCUAACUACGUGCCAGCAGCCGCGGUAAUACGUAGGUGGCAAGCGUUGUCCGGAUUUAUUGGGCGUAAAGCGAGCGCAGGCGGUUUCUUAAGUCUGAUGUGAAAGCCCCCGGCUCAACCGGGGAGGGUCAUUGGAAACUGGGAGACUUGAGUGCAGAAGAGGAGAGUGGAAUUCCAUGUGUAGCGGUGAAAUGCGUAGAUAUAUGGAGGAACACCAGUGGCGAAGGCGGCUCUCUGGUCUGUAACUGACGCUGAGGCUCGAAAGCGUGGGGGAGCAAACAGGAUUAGAUACCCUGGUAGUCCACGCCGUAAACGAUGAGUGCUAAGUGUUGGAGGUUUUCCGCCCUUCAGUGCUGCAGCUAAACGCAUUAAGCACUCCGCCUGGGGGAGUACGACCGCGAGGGUUGAAACUCAAAGGAAUUGACGGGGGGCCCGCACAAGCGGUGGGAGCAUGUUGGUUUAUUUCUAAGCACGCGAAGAACCUUACCAGGUCUUGACAUCCUUUUGACCAUUCUAGAGAUAGAGCUUCCCCCUCCGGGGGCAAAAUGACAGGGGUGGCAUGGU